Molecule: long non-coding RNA, 218 nt
Filed under: Elaeis guineensis (African oil palm)
Lineage: Eukaryota; Viridiplantae; Streptophyta; Magnoliopsida; Arecales; Arecaceae
Description: long non-coding RNA (EGUI_LNC071263)
Source: RNAcentral
CAGGUCCCACAAAUUAUGGCGUGUAAUAUAUUUAAGAGGCUAGGGAGAGAAAAAAUUUAUUUGGUGCAAACACGUCCCAUGCGACGUCCCAUUGUUUUCCACCAAGAUUAAAUUCUUCUAUGUGAAAAAUAAUGGGUGUGGAAGAGCCUUCAAGCAGAAGGACUCCUCCACUUCUAUGCCAACAUAUCUCAAGAAGCCAUCAGAUGGCAUGUGGAGUA